CAGGGCCUCAGGGGUGUGGACAAGCCCCAAGGCCUGGGGGCUGGGUCCUGAGCGGCGCCCUAGGGGGCGGGCACCCGCAGCAGAGCCCGGAGGUGAACUUGCGCGUCCUGCCGGCCUCGCGGCGCGGGGACCACGCGGUGACCUCGUGUGCGUGCGCGGGGCCACCACGAGCCAGGCGGCCGCGUCCGCCCAGCCCGAGGGCGGGAAGGCAGGUGGGCGCCGGCGGCGGUGCUCACAGCAGAGUCGCUCUGGUCCACGCGCGCGGCUCCUUUGCGCUCCUGAGGUCGGCGGGUACCGGGCAGGCACCUUGGACACCGGCAGCACCCCCCCCCCCCGCCCUCCUCCCGCGCGCUCCUGUGCGCCUGACCCGUGGGGACCGCGAAGCUGCGACAUAAGGACUCGGGAGGGAAGGGGAGGACGUCCCUUCCCCGGGAGCAGGGAGACCUUCCUAACCCCGGUGGGAAACCCACCACCGAUGAAUACAAGAUGGACAUAUUUGUAUAAAAUAGCUUCAGCUUUUGUGUGGCAGGCAUUAUAAAGAAAGUCAACUACAGGACUCGAGGACCCGUGGCUUGCCAUGCAGAGGAUAGCAUAGGGUUAACGGGUACAGGUGGGAAGAACUCUUAAAAAUUGGCAAGGAGUGGAACCCCACUUCCAGAUAAGGAGAGGCUAGGGAAGGGGACAAGGGAGGGGGCUGGGUCUCCAGGCUGGGGGGUCCCCAUGCCUGGAUGCAGGACCUUGGGGAAGGAGAAGCUGGAGAUAAGGAGAGAGAGGGGCUCUGGAGGGGAAGGGAGAGGAGGAGAGGAGAUGAGGAGGGGGCUCCCCUCUCCUGUGCCCCCUGAGGAGUGGGAGGUCUUCCUAACCAAGGAUGGAAACCCAGAACCUGGGAAAUAUGAGAGAAACAUAUUUGCAUAACACUUAAAAAGUGUUGCAAGGCAAUAUGCAAAAGGCUUGAGGAAAAAUUUGGAACACUUAGAAGGGCAUAGAGUUAAUAGCUAUAAUACGUAAAGAGUGCUUGCAAAUUGACAAGAAGAUAUCAAACAACCCCCACCCAAGAAGGACAAGCCUAGGAGGGGGAGGGGGAGGGAAGAAGAGACUGCCCCCUCCCACUCUCUAGGAGCCUGGAGACUUUCUUAACCAAGGCUGGAAAUUUUGAAUCUAUAAGAUAAACAGAGGACCUGUUGAACCGUAUAAAACUUAAACCUUUUGUGUAGGAACAAACACAAACAACAACCUAAUCUGGGGAAAAAAUAGGCAAUUCUUGUAACAUACAAUGGACACUCACCCAUCAGCAAGCAGAAAUGACACAAGUCAAAGGAGAAAUGAAGAAGCAGCACAGGAAGGAGAGGGAGGCUGGGAUCUCGUGGGGGACAGGGCCCCCCAUAUCCGGGAGCCUGGCCAAGGCCCUUCCAAGGCUCUGUGGAAGCUCCGGCCUCCUGCCAGGUGAGAAGAGGGUCAAGAGUGUGGAUGAGCUGAUCAGACAGACGACGGGUCAAGUCGGUGGCUCUGUGGGUGAGUCCAAGUCUCGGCCUCAGUUUCCCUCAUCUGUAAAAUGGGUGGUAUUUCUUCCUGCACUAAGGGUUGUGGUGGAGGCUGCAAGGGGUAGAGAAAGUGCAGGGGUUAGAGGAACAGCCUACAGACUGGGGCCAAAUCUCUGCUUCUCCAGGAGCUUCUGUCACGAUUUCCUCCCCGGGCGCUGUGGAGACCGGGACAGUCUCCAUCUCGGAAUGCCGGUGUGAGGGGCAGACGAACAAGGCAGUAAUGGUACCUACCUCUUAAUCUCAAGUUCGUGGCCGGUGCACAAUAAGCCCGUCACGGAGACACUGUGCCUGGAGAUGGAGACAGGGUUAUUCAAAUUGGCCCAAAUGAGAAGGCGGGAGGAUAGGUUCUCUCAAAUCCAUCUUCACAAAAGAAGAAAUCGGGGGGUUUUCUAGACCUGAGGGGCUCAGCAGGAGGAGUUGUGGAGAAACGAAGGGGAAGCCUGUGUUUCUUCCACUCCAGAUAAGCCCUUGGGCAACUGGACUUCUGGGCGUCCACGGCAGCUGGGGCCGUUACCUGGUGAUUGACACUUCCCUAAAGGCAUCUUUUUUCUUCUGCAAAACAAGCUCAUAAAUCCUUGUGAGCCUUGAGUCAACAAGAAAACAGCAAAUUGACAGGAUUCACUUCCUUUCAUCCGUGUCUGUGUUGGGAACAUGAUCGAAGGAAGAAUGGCCUGCCCUUGAGGAGCCCAUGAGCCCUUGAGAAAAUCAGACGGUAAAUCAA
RNAcentral lists this long non-coding RNA (2262 nucleotides) under Equus caballus (horse). Its description in RNAcentral is "lncRNA (ENSECAG00000053629.1)". The record is from RNAcentral. Lineage: Eukaryota; Metazoa; Chordata; Mammalia; Perissodactyla; Equidae.